GCCUGUUUUGUCUUCUCUACAAUCAAGGACAUUGUUAUGGUUAUACCCUAAACCCUGAACUUCACUGAUUGACCUUCCGACUUUCUUCUCUGAAGUGAAGUCAAAAACUGUGCCUUUAACCGGCAAGAAUUCACCAGUUGGAAUUGAGUUCUGAUCCACAGGCGUUAUUUGGGAUCCCUAUAUCUGAACCAAAUGCUCCAGCACAUUCCCAGAGUUGAC
RNAcentral lists this unclassified non-coding RNA (219 nucleotides) under Hevea brasiliensis (rubber tree). The record is from RNAcentral. Lineage: Eukaryota; Viridiplantae; Streptophyta; Magnoliopsida; Malpighiales; Euphorbiaceae.